RNAcentral lists this long non-coding RNA (466 nucleotides) under Pan troglodytes (chimpanzee). RNAcentral's name for it is "lincRNA". The record is from RNAcentral. Lineage: Eukaryota; Metazoa; Chordata; Mammalia; Primates; Hominidae.
ACUUCCAUGGCCCCUUAGCCAUGCCAAGGGGCAGUACCGGCUUUCUGCUGAUGCUGACGAGCUGUGGUGUGAACUCACGAAGGCUGCUCAGGACUGAGGCUGAGACGGGCGACCAGGACGGGAUUGUAUGGCUGCAGGAGGCUACACAGUCCCAGGAGGCUGCUUCUAAGAUGCCCACGUGGCCUGCAUAGGGAUGCGCCUGGCUGUCCAGCAUGUGGUCAUUUGAAUUGUACAUGUUUCACUGGGAUGCCUACAGAAAAGUAGACAGAAGAUGUGGAAAAAGUUUUUGAAAUGUUGCAAACUUAGCUACUUUUAAAAUAAAAAAAUAGCUUUAUAAUUAUAAAAGCAAUAUGUAAAUCUUAAAAUAAUUUGCUACAUUCUAGUAAGCAUCUUAUGAUCUCUAUGUGCCCUAUAACAUUAUGUUGUAUAGUUUAAAUAUAUACAAUAAAAUCUAUUUUAAAAAAUA